GAGUUUGAUCCUGGCUCAGAAUCAACGCUGGCGGCGUGCCUCAGACAUGCAAGUCGAACGCGAAAGCUCCUUCGGGAGUGAGUAGAGUGGCGCACGGGUGAGUAACACGUAGGUAAUCUACCUUUGAGUGGGGAAUAACUUGGGGAAACCCAAGCUAAUACCGCAUAAUGCAGCGGCACCUUCGGGUGACAGUUGUUAAAGGAGCAAUCCGCUUAAAGAGGAGCCUGCGGCAGAUUAGCUAGUUGGUAAGGUAAUGGCUUACCAAGGCUUCGAUCUGUAACCGACCUGAGAGGGUGGUCGGUCACACUGACACUGAAUAACGGGUCARACCCCUACGGGAGGCAGCAGUCGGGAAUUUUGGGCAAUGGGCGCAAGCCUGACCCAGCAACGCCGCGUGAAGGACGAAGUCUUUCGGGAUGUAAACUUCGUAAGAAUGGGAAGAAUAAAUGACGGUACCAUUUGUAGGGUCCGGCUAACUACGUGCCAGCAGCCGCGGUAAUACGUAGGGACCAAGCGUUGUUCGGAUUUACUGGGCGUAAAGGGCGCGUAGGCGGCGUGUCAAGUCGAUUGUGAAAUCUCCGGGCUUAACUCGGAACGGUCAAUCGAUACUGAUGUGCUAGAGUGCAGAAAGGGCAACCGGAAUUCUUGGUGUAGCGGUGAAAUGCGUAGAUAUCAAGAGGAACACCUGAGGCGAAGGCGGGUUGCUAGGCUGACACUGACGCUGAGGCGCGAAAGCUAGGGUAGCAAACGGGAUUAGAUACC
RNAcentral lists this ribosomal RNA (762 nucleotides) under uncultured bacterium. RNAcentral describes it as "bacterial SSU rRNA". It matches the Rfam family "Bacterial small subunit ribosomal RNA", at positions 9 to 786 of the family's 1533-position model. The record is from RNAcentral.